GACGAAGGGGGCUAGCGUUGUUCGGAAUUACUGGGCGUAAAGCGCGUGUAGGCGGUUGCUCAAGUCAGGUGCGAAAGCCUUGAGCUCAACUCAAGAAAUGCACUUGAUACUGGAUGACUAGAGGACCGGAGAGGAUAGUGGAAUUCCCAGUGUAGUGGUGAAAUACGUAGAGAUUGGGAAGAACACCAGUGGCGAAGGCGGCUAUCUGGACGGUUUCUGACGCUAAGACGCGAAAGCGUGGGGAGCAAACAGG
Molecule: ribosomal RNA, 253 nt
Filed under: uncultured bacterium
Lineage: Bacteria
Description: partial 16S ribosomal RNA
Rfam family: Bacterial small subunit ribosomal RNA
Source: RNAcentral